This 495-nucleotide ribosomal RNA is filed under the name uncultured bacterium. Its description in RNAcentral is "partial 16S ribosomal RNA". It matches the Rfam family "Bacterial small subunit ribosomal RNA", at positions 28 to 505 of the family's 1533-position model. The record is from RNAcentral.
GAUGAACGCUGGCGGCGUGCCUAAUACAUGCAAGUCGAGCGAACAGACGAGGAGCUUGCUCCUCUGACGUUAGCGGCGGACGGGUGAGUAACACGUGGAUAACCUACCUAUAAGACUGGGAUAACUUCGGGAAACCGGAGCUAAUACCGGAUAAUAUAUUGAACCGCAUGGUUCAAUAGUGAAAGACGGUUUUGCUGUCACUUAUAGAUGGAUCCGCGCCGCAUUAGCUAGUUGGUAAGGUAACGGCUUACCAAGGCAACGAUGCGUAGCCGACCUGAGAGGGGGAGCGGCCACAUUGGUACUGCGACCCGGUGCGGACGCCGACGGGCGGCAGCAGGCCGGAUUCUUUCGCAAUGGGCGAAAGCCGUAAGGAGCAACUACGCGGGAAGAACGAAGUUCUUAGGAUCGUAAACCUCUUUUAUUCGAGCAGAAAAAAUGUCUAAGUAUCUAUGCACGCCUGGACGGUCCCUAAUCAGAAAGCCACCGCUAACUACC